AAUGGGGGCAACCCUGAUCUAGCCAUGCCGCGUGAGUGAAGAAGGCCUUAGGGUCGUAAAGCUCUUUCAGCUGGGAAGAUAAUGACGGUACCAGCAGAAGAAGCCCCGGCUAACUCCGUGCCAGCGGCCGCGGUAAUACGGAGGGGGCUAGCGUUGUUCGGAAUUACUGGGCGUAAAGCGCGCGUAGGCGGGCUGUUAAGUCGGGGGUGAAAUCCCGGGGCUCAACCCCGGAACUGCCUCCGAUACUGGCAGCCUAGAGAUCGAGAGAGGUGAGUGGAAUUCCGAGUGUAGAGGUGAAAUUCGUAGAUAUUCGGAGGAACACCAGUGGCGAAGGCGGCUCACUGGCUCGAUACUGACGCUGAGGCGCGAAAGCGUGGGGAGCAAACGGGAUU
RNAcentral lists this ribosomal RNA (392 nucleotides) under uncultured Gammaproteobacteria bacterium. Its description in RNAcentral is "bacterial SSU rRNA". It matches the Rfam family "Bacterial small subunit ribosomal RNA", at positions 370 to 779 of the family's 1533-position model. The record is from RNAcentral. Lineage: Bacteria; Pseudomonadati; Pseudomonadota; Gammaproteobacteria.